UCAGAGCCCCCACAGGUCACCAUGGAACUGUACCUCCUGCUGGGCAAGGCCUCACUCAUUCCAAUGUCCCCAAAAGUGACCACUGCUCAGAGCUAAGCAGACCUUCUCAGAUUCUCUUCAGCAUCUUAGGGAACCUUGGGGCCUUUGAUGUUUAUGGUUGUGAGAUUCAGCGCCAUGGAUUCCCUGGUUUGAGAGAAAAACAACAUAGACACUUCAUGGACUUGCAGGGUUGUAGGCUGGAUCCACUGCCAACACUUAAGGCCGAGAAGUACAACACCAGAAAUACAAAUUGGAACAAUAA
Molecule: long non-coding RNA, 301 nt
Filed under: Rattus norvegicus (Norway rat)
Lineage: Eukaryota; Metazoa; Chordata; Mammalia; Rodentia; Muridae
Description: long non-coding RNA NONRATT020548
Source: RNAcentral